UGUUCAGUUUCAUUUCAAUACGAUUUCGCAGCCGCUGUAAAUCAAGAUCACAAUCGUUUCUUACAUAUAUGAAAAUCAUGCAUCGUUUUCUUUAUGUUAUCGACUCAUAAUAAUCACCAAGAGUUUUAUGUGUCGAUUUUUUCUUUUCCUUCAUCAUGCACAUAGAUCUAAAAAUUAGUAAAGAUCCGCCAUAUAUACUUUGGUGUUUCGAAGAUUAUGCUGUUCGACUAUCACUCACACUAUACUUUGAUGUGUAUUCUGUUGUCAGCCUAGUAGAAUCAGAUUACUAUGAGUUAGGUGUUCAUAACAUUUCAAGAGUUGGUUUUGUAGGUUUGUCCGAGGCUCCUAGCUUGAAAAGGAUGAAGUGGUUGGCUGAGACGAAUCCUGAGAAGAUGAGGCAAAAGACGGAAGGAGGGCUCCUUUGCUGAUUAAAGUAGCGGAUGUAGUUUAGUGUAUUAGAUAAACCGUGACAACAUUAAACAUGAACUUUUGUUAUAACAGAGGCCAAUUUGAACUUUAUGUCUCGAUAAAUCGAUUAAAAAAGCCUAAGUACAAAACAUUUACUGGACAAUCUUAUACAUUCCUUUGCUGAUUAAAGUAGCGGAUGUAGUUUCCAUUGGUUACAGGGUGGAUUAAUCUUUGUUUAAACCCUGUUUUAUUUUCUGUCAAGUUAUUGUAUGAGUAUAAAUAUAUAUAUGAUAUGUGUUGGUGUAUCAUUGUAUGCAUAUGAAUUUGAAUA
Molecule: long non-coding RNA, 739 nt
Organism: Lactuca sativa (garden lettuce)
Lineage: Eukaryota; Viridiplantae; Streptophyta; Magnoliopsida; Asterales; Asteraceae
Source: RefSeq, a predicted model, not a curated record